AAAGUACUCCCUCCAUCCCAAAAUUCUUGUCUUAGAUUUGUCUAGAUACAGAUGUAUCAAGUCACAUUUUAGUAUUAGAUACAUCCGUAUCUAGACAAAUCUAAGACAAGAAAUUUGGGACAGAGGGAGUAGUUG
Non-coding RNA from Triticum aestivum (bread wheat), 135 nucleotides. The record is from Rfam. NCBI's taxonomy places the organism in Eukaryota, Viridiplantae, Streptophyta, Magnoliopsida, Poales, Poaceae.